This 603-nucleotide ribosomal RNA is filed under the name uncultured cyanobacterium. RNAcentral's name for it is "bacterial SSU rRNA". It matches the Rfam family "Bacterial small subunit ribosomal RNA", at positions 1 to 658 of the family's 1533-position model. Lineage: Bacteria; Bacillati; Cyanobacteriota. The record is from RNAcentral.
UGAGUUUGAUUCUGGCUCAGGAUGAACGCUGGCGGCGUGCUUAACACAUGCAAGUCGAACGAACCUUCGGGUUAGUGGCGGACGGGUGAGUAACGCGUGAGAAUCUGCCCUCAGGAGGGGGAUAACGGUUGGAAACGACCGCUAAUACCCCAUAUGCCUACUGGUGAAAUGAAUUUCGCCUGAGGAUGAGCUCGCGUCUGAUUAGCUAGUUGGUGAGGUAAUGGCUCACCAAGGCUUCGAUCAGUAGCUGGUCUGAGAGGAUGAUCAGCCACACUGGGACUGAGACACGGCCCAGACUCCUACGGGAGGCAGCAGUGGGGAAUUUUCCGCAAUGGGCGAAAGCCUGACGGAGCAACGCCGCGUGAGGGACGAAGGCCUCUGGGCUGUAAACCUCUUUUCUCAAGGAAGAAGAUAUGACGGUACUUGAGGAAUAAGCCACGGCUAAUUCCGUGCCAGCAGCCGCGGUAAUACGGGAGUGGCAAGCGUUAUCCGGAAUUAUUGGGCGUAAAGCGUCCGCAGGCGGCUUUUCAAGUCUGCUGUUAAAGCGUGGAGCUUAACUCCAUCAUGGCAGUGGAAACUGAAAGGCUUGAGUAUGGUAGGGGC